This 372-nucleotide ribosomal RNA is filed under the name uncultured organism. RNAcentral's name for it is "bacterial SSU rRNA". It matches the Rfam family "Bacterial small subunit ribosomal RNA", at positions 526 to 896 of the family's 1533-position model. The record is from RNAcentral.
CAGAGGUCCCGAGCGUUGUUCGGAUUCACUGGGCGUAAAGGGUGCGUAGGUGGUGAGGUAAGUCGGAUGUGAAAUCUCCGGGCUCAACCCGGAAACUGCAUUGGAAACUACCUUGCUGGAGGAUUUGAGGGGGGAUUGGAAUACUUGGUGUAGCAGUGAAAUGCGUAGAUAUCAAGUGGAACACCAGUGGCGAAGGCGAAUCCCUGGAAUAUACCUGACACUGAGGCACGAAAGCUAGGGGAGCAAACAGGAUUAGAUACCCUGGUAGUCCUAGCCCUAAACGGUGCUUGCUUGCUGUAAGAGGAAUCGACCCCUCUUGUGGCGGAGCUAACGCGUUAAGCAAGCCGCCUGGGAAGUACGGUCGCAAGAUUA